GGAGAGGUGUCGGAGUGGCUUAUCGAGCUGGUUUCGAAAACCAGUGUACUCUAUUGGAGUACCGCGGGUUCGAAUCCCGCCCUCUCCG
This 88-nucleotide transfer RNA is filed under the name Planctomycetota bacterium. Its description in RNAcentral is "Planctomycetes bacterium tRNA-Ser". It matches the Rfam family "tRNA". Rfam says of the family: Transfer RNA (tRNA) molecules are approximately 80 nucleotides in length. The record is from RNAcentral. RNAcentral also lists the same sequence under 1 other name. Lineage: Bacteria; Pseudomonadati; Planctomycetota.